This 229-nucleotide non-coding RNA is filed under the name Amorphochlora amoebiformis. Lineage: Eukaryota; Cercozoa; Chlorarachniophyceae. The record is from RNAcentral.
CCGACCACGCCUCAUAUUUGUACUGUAAAUUGGCUCACUGGGCGUACGUAGGCGUAGUCGGGUUGCGAACUGCCUUGUCAUUACCCUCGGAUCUUCUCUCCUUGUCACAGCAUACCUGACGCUAAACACGCCGAAAGGCCUGGCCGCUAGUGUUGUCCCGCGCGGGCGCGUUGGGGGAGUGGAGCGAACCACAUUUCGACGCAUGCCGCUAUUUAUGCGCAUGACCCAC